AGGAUAAACGCUGGCGGCGUGCCUAACACAUGCAAGUCGAACGUCCUACGCAAGUAGGGAGUGGCGGACGGGUGAGUAACACGUGGGCAAUCUACCUUUCGGUGAGGAAUACCGGCGAGAAAUCGCCGACAAUACCGCAUACGCUUCGCAAGAAGCAAAGUCGCAAGACGCCGGAGGAGGAGCCUGCGCCCGAUUAGCUGGUUGGUGAGGUAAAAGCCCACCAAGGCGUCGAUCGGUAGCUGGUCUGAGAGGAUGAUCAGCCACACUGGGAUUGAGAGCGGCCCAGACUCCUACGGGGGGCAGCAGUGAGGAAUUUUCGUCAAUGGGGGAAACCCUGAACGAGCAACGCCGCGUGCAGGACGACGCUUCUCGGAGUGUAAACUGCUUUUCUCGGGGAAGAGAACGGACGGUACCCGAGGAAUCAGCCCCGGCUAACUACGUGCCAGCAGCCGC
RNAcentral lists this ribosomal RNA (453 nucleotides) under uncultured bacterium. RNAcentral's name for it is "SSU rRNA". It matches the Rfam family "Bacterial small subunit ribosomal RNA", at positions 26 to 518 of the family's 1533-position model. The record is from RNAcentral.